RNAcentral lists this small RNA (582 nucleotides) under Pan troglodytes (chimpanzee). RNAcentral's name for it is "retained intron". The record is from RNAcentral. Lineage: Eukaryota; Metazoa; Chordata; Mammalia; Primates; Hominidae.
AUUUAUUUAUUUAUUUUAGCCGGGCAUGGUGGUGCACGCCUGUAAUCCAGCUACUCUGGAGGCUGAGGCAGGAGAAUGGCUUAAACACAGGAGGCGGAGGUUACAGUGAGCGGAGAUCGUGCCACUGUACUCCAGCCUGGGUGACAAGAGUGAGACUCUGUCUCAGAAAAAAAAAGAAAAAGUUGUUUGAGUGUGUCUUUUUUUUUUUUUUCUACAAUGUGUUUUGAAGCAAAGUCUUUGGCAUGCUGUGUUUCUAUGCAGGAUUUCAAGAAUGCCCAUCUUCCCAAGAGUGCUGCCUCCCCACCUGAUGCUGGUUUCACUUCCAUGCCUGCAGUCUUGCUCCUCUAACUGUAACCGUUCUGUUUCUGAUCCAGGUUACAAUAAGCUCUUGUGACCUCCUGGUUGUAAGUGUUGGCCAGAUGUCUAUGUCCAGGGCCAUCAACCUAACCCAGAAACUCUGGACAGCAGGCAUCACAGCAGAAAUCAUGUACGACUGGUCACAGUCCCAAGAGGAAUUACAAGAGUACUGCAGACAUCAUGAAAUCACCUAUGUGGCCCUUGUCUCAGAUAAAGAAGGAAGCC